GUUCCUAAUGUGGAUCUAGCAGAACCCAUAAUGGACCUUGUUAGCGUUCGCAGCAAAGAAAGAUAAAUAAUUCAGACACUAGGCGGCGUACCAUUCGACAAGUCUCGAACUCAGAUUCAGUUAAGAAGUUACAAUGGUUAUAUGUUAUGUUGUUAUUGUUCUCACGAUGGAAGUAAAUACAUGAAGUAUUUAAAAUUUUAUAGAAUAGAUUCAAUAAAAACCAUUACACCGAUUAUACCGUUUGUAUUUUUUGUCUAACCAACGACUAUAUAACCUGUAUGUCUUCCAUACCGGUGUUAACUGAUUAUUUGAACGUUAGGGUUAACAUUCUCUACGUAAAUCAGGAAGAUGGCGGAACAACAGAAAAGUUUAUCCAGAAGUCAAGAUUUUAUCUUCAAUGUUUACCAAGUUUGUUUGUUUGUGUGAAUUUUUAACCUUGGAAUGCCUGCAUAUUUUGCACUAUAUUUGACACAUUGAAAUUUAUUUGGACAGGAUACAAAAAUGCUGAAUAUAUAUAUAAAAAAAAAUUCUAAAUUAUAU
This is a long non-coding RNA of Centruroides sculpturatus (bark scorpion), 540 nucleotides long. RefSeq lists it as uncharacterized. The transcript has 3 exons. NCBI's taxonomy places the organism in Eukaryota, Metazoa, Arthropoda, Arachnida, Scorpiones, Buthidae. The record is from RefSeq and is a predicted model, not a curated record.